AAGUCGUAACAAGGUUUCCGUAGGUGAACCUGCGGAAGGAUCAUUACUGAGCCUGGGUGCUUCGGCGCCUAACCUCCAACCCUUUGUUUACCUUACCACUGUUGCCUCGGCGUUUGGGAGCAAUCCCGGCGCCGGUGGCCUUAUAACUAAACCCUUUGUUAAACCCAGUCUUCUGAGAAAUUAUUUAAUAACUUCAAAACUUUCAACAACGGAUCUCUUGGUUCUG
This 226-nucleotide unclassified non-coding RNA is filed under the name air metagenome. Its description in RNAcentral is "partial contains small subunit ribosomal RNA, internal transcribed spacer 1, and 5.8S ribosomal RNA". The stretch from base 1 to 46 matches the Rfam family "Eukaryotic small subunit ribosomal RNA", at positions 1786 to 1831 of the family's 1831-position model. The record is from RNAcentral.